Podarcis lilfordi (Lilford's wall lizard) is the source of this 228-nucleotide non-coding RNA. NCBI's taxonomy places the organism in Eukaryota, Metazoa, Chordata, Lepidosauria, Squamata, Lacertidae. The record is from the annotation of a GenBank genome assembly.
GGGCAGUUCCAUAAGUUCAGUGGUAGAGCAUCACCUUUGCUUGCAGUGGGUCCCAGGCAUUUCUGGAUUGGGCUGAGAAAGGCCUGAAACCCAGGGGAACCACAGUCUGUCAGUGUAGACAAUACUGAGCUCUAAUAUAACAUGAGGCAGCUUCAUGUGGAGCAUCUGUAGCCGAAGAGCACAGGUAUUGGAUGCUGAAGGUCCUAGGUUCAAUCCCCGGUGUGUCCA